Molecule: long non-coding RNA, 260 nt
Organism: Chelonia mydas (Green sea turtle)
Lineage: Eukaryota; Metazoa; Chordata; Testudines; Cheloniidae
Exons: 2
Source: RefSeq, a predicted model, not a curated record
AGAUGGAGGCAACACGGAAGCAGGUUUUGGGGACGAAGAAAAUGAUGAUGAUGAUGAGGUUGUAGAUAGCUCACAGCAAGCAAGCGGAGAAACCGCUUUUCCCUACAGCCAGGAACUGGUUCUCACCCUGGACUUGGAGCCAGUACCCCCCGAACCCACCCAAGGCUGCCUCCUGGACCCAGCAGGCGGAGAAGGGACCUCCGCUGCAUGUGUUUCAGUGAUCACGGGAUCUUCUCCUUCCCAGAGGCUAGUGAAGAUUA